Molecule: non-coding RNA, 72 nt
Organism: Amborella trichopoda
Lineage: Eukaryota; Viridiplantae; Streptophyta; Magnoliopsida; Amborellales; Amborellaceae
Source: Rfam
GGUUCUAUGGUGUAGUGGUUAGCACUUUGGACUUUGAAUCCAGCGACCUGGGUUUGACUCCCAGUAGGACCU